This is a non-coding RNA of Vicugna pacos (alpaca), 1171 nucleotides long. NCBI's taxonomy places the organism in Eukaryota, Metazoa, Chordata, Mammalia, Artiodactyla, Camelidae. The record is from RefSeq and is a predicted model, not a curated record.
CAAUGUGGUCUUCAGCUCAGCCUUCGGGGCCAAAGGAGACCAAGAAGGUCUUCCUGAGUUUUCAGCUCCACAGUUCAGACAGGUCCCCUUUCUUGCCUCUGCUCUCAGGCCACUUUCUGACCCUGUAUCCUAAGGGGUUUUCUACGUGGAUUCAAAGUCAGAGUGACCUAGAGAAAGCCUGGGUUGCUGACGUCCUUCCUUUCCCAGUGUUCUCAGCAUACCAAGAUCACCCUUGGCUUCAUAGCCAAACUCUAACAUUUGAGUUUUUGUAAGACGGGGGGAGAAGGGAGGGUUUUAUUGUAGAAGCAUGGAUUCUCUUCGACAGUCAAGGUAAACAGGACUUCUAUUAAGAAAGUAUUCUGCUAGGGGGAACUCUAGUUGCUUUUUAGAGAGCCAAAAGCCGUGGGGAGGUAAACAGAUUUCCUUAGAGGUCGAGCACUUGGCCAGUGUGUUUAUGGAAUGUAUGGCCCUUUAACCAAAACUUCUAUCCCUUCAGUGAAGCAUGGAUUUUAUUUUCUCCUGGUUUUGGAGCAAAUCACUGUAGGCGUUUCUGAAAGAACAAUCUUCUGUUUUUCUCUAUCUGCUGAGAAAUCAAGUAAGAAAAGCCAGUUAAUGAUCCGGUUACUUAAAACCACUCAUUUCAGCAUAUUUGCUUUGCUGAGAAGAAGAGGCCUUGUUAACAAGGACUGAGGGGGUGUGUCUUUGCUUCCAGAUUAAGCGUAAAGAGCAAAAUUUACUGUCCACUGUUACUGAGCUCUGUGGGUCCUUUUAUUCCUGAACAUUUCCCUCAGGAUUCCUCACCCAAAAGGACCUGGAACAUGAGGAGACUGUCAUGCCUAUGACUAUGUCACAUCACAGCCAGAGGGAGAUCCUCCACGUGGGCCUAAGUGAAUCUCACAAGCCCUUUCCAUGCAGUUUUCUCCACCUGGUGGCAAGAGGGAAAGUUGGAAAGAUUCAGAGCAUGAGAAGGUUUCAGUGCAUGGAUGUUGGCUUUGAAGGGGGCCUUGGAGGAAGGUGUGCACAAGACCAGAGAGUGGCCCCUAGGAGCUGAGUGACCCCUGGCCAACAGCUAGAAAAGAAAGUAGGACCCUCAGUUCUACAGCCACAAGCAACUGGACUCUGUCAGCAGCCUGAAUACCUGGGAAAACAGUUGUUUUCCAGAGCCUCCAGG